AGCUGGGUAGCUAUGUGCGGAAGGGAUAAGUGCUGAAAGCAUCUAAGCAUGAAGCCCCCCUCAAGAUGAGAUUUCCCAUAGCGUUAAGCUAGUAAGAUCCCUGAAAGAUGAUCAGGUUGAUAGGUUCGAGGUGGAAGCGUGGUGACACGUGGAGCUGACGAAUACUAAUAGAUCGAGGACUUAACCA
This 187-nucleotide ribosomal RNA is filed under the name Bacillus sp. 103mf. RNAcentral's name for it is "23S rRNA. Bacterial LSU". It matches the Rfam family "Bacterial large subunit ribosomal RNA", at positions 2739 to 2925 of the family's 2925-position model. Lineage: Bacteria; Bacillati; Bacillota; Bacilli; Caryophanales; Bacillaceae. The record is from RNAcentral.